CAGUCGCCGCGGGAAUACGUAGGGUGCAAGCGUUAAUCGGAAUUACUGGGCGUAAAGCGUGCGCAGGCGGUUAUAUAAGACAGAUGUGAAAUCCCCGGGCUCAACCUGGGAACUGCAUUUGUGACUGUAUAGCUAGAGUACGGCAGAGGGGGAUGGAAUUCCGCGUGUAGCAGUGAAAUGCGUAGAUAUGCGGAGGAACACCGAUGGCGAAGGCAAUCCCCUGGGCCUGUACUGACGCUUAUGCACGAAAGCGUGGGGAGCAAACAGGAUUAGAUACCCCUGUAGUCCCUGUCUCUUAUAA
This 301-nucleotide ribosomal RNA is filed under the name uncultured bacterium. Its description in RNAcentral is "partial 16S ribosomal RNA". It matches the Rfam family "Bacterial small subunit ribosomal RNA", at positions 509 to 809 of the family's 1533-position model. The record is from RNAcentral.